UUGAUUUUAUUAUCGUUUGCUUCAGAGGACAAUGAUGGUUGGGUUUGAGAGGUCUUCUGGCGGGCGGACCCGCCAAAGAAACGAGGUUAUAACGACAAAGGGUUGAAGGUCAGCCCCGGAGGGCAUUCCCGAUAAUGAUCCUUCCGCAGGUUCACCUACGGAAA
RNAcentral lists this unclassified non-coding RNA (164 nucleotides) under uncultured fungus. Its description in RNAcentral is "sequence contains ITS1". The record is from RNAcentral. Lineage: Eukaryota; Fungi.